RNAcentral lists this unclassified non-coding RNA (1875 nucleotides) under Bactrocera tryoni. Its description in RNAcentral is "uncharacterized LOC120781265, transcript variant X7". Lineage: Eukaryota; Metazoa; Arthropoda; Insecta; Diptera; Tephritidae. The record is from RNAcentral.
UGCUCAGAAAUAGUUAACAAACUGUGACUUAUUCGGGCAACCGGAAAGACAUCAAAUAACGAACAAAUCAUUAAAACGUAUUUUUUUCAGAUAGAAAUGACAAAAUAAAAUUCACAAAUAAACAGAUUUAAUGGGAACUACUUUUAUCAAGCGGGUGCAACCAAAAAAAUCGAAAAACCGAAAACAUAAAUAGUAUAACUACAUAUAACUACUCAACGAAUAAUAAAAAAUACUUGUAAAUAAAUGAGAAAAUAUACACAAUAACAAAUUUGAAAAAUAUUUAAAAGCUGAAUUCAGAACCACUAGAAUAUAUGUUCAUACAUAUUUGCAAUACCUGUGGAGAAAUCGGAAUAUUUUUUAUACAUAUGUACAUACGUAUGCACACAAAUAUAUUCAGAAUAUAUAGCACAUAAUAAAGGCCGUAAAUAUCGAAAAACCAAUAAAGCAAAAAUGCAACAAACGCGUUCACAGCGGAGGCAAUCCAGUCAUCUUUUCCAAAUGCAAGAUGGACUGAGUCCUAAAAAAACAGCCGUCAUAAUUGUGACCGUAGUUGGUUGCAUUGCAAUACUUUGGCCGAAGGUAUUCUACCCGAUGAUGUUCGGUAGCAACGUGCCCGCGAAAAGUGGAAAUUUAAAGGAUCAACUUGGACCGGGAGGUUGUUGUGAUGUUGUUAUUGACAGAGAUAAAUUUCUGAAUGAAACUCCAACAGAAAUCGGUCCACAAUUGUAUCGCAAGCAACUGAAUUUAUAUACCGGAGAGAUGAAUUCUAAUCCAGGUUUACGGCAGGAGCGUCCAGCACAUUUACAUCCCGAAUCCAUCUAUCAAGCGAUGCGUGAACGGGGUCGUGCCAUUCCUGCAACUACACCGACAGUGCCAAUUUUGGAGCGCAAAGGAUCAGCCAGCAAUCCACCGCCACGUGUCGUUGAUGGCCGGCCUGGCCCUAUUCCCGGAAUGCGCCCACCCAUGGGCGCCGGAUCUAUGCAUCAACCGCAGGCCCGCGCUGGUAAUAGUAUGGGCUUCAUAAUGCCACUUUAUACAAUUGGGAUAAUAGUCUUCUUCGGUUACACGAUUAUGAAGAUAGUGUUCAAGCGGUCAACGCCGAAUGCACCUUAUGGACCCAUGCCUACCAACCCCGACUUUAGAAAAGAAGUCUUUGGUCAAGAAAAUGGCAGACAAGUUGACGAAGCGCAUAAUUCUAAACUAGGGUGGCGCGAACAUCAAGCAAGGUCAAAACCAUAUGAAAAAAUCAGCAGUGGUGGUGGCGGCGGCGGUGUUGCAAGUGGCAGCGAGCUUUACAAUGCCAGUUUGGCUACUGCCACGGCGGCAUCCAUUCUUUCGACGCAGCUGAAGCAGCACACUCAUGGCAUACCCAGCACUUUUGGUGGUGCUGGCACUGGCGCUGGGGGAAGCUUGGCUGCCGGAUACAGCAAGGAAACUGAACAAUUGAUGGAAAUUGAGAAAUUGCGUAAAAAACUUGAGGAUACCGAAAAGGCGAUGGCAAAAUUGAUCGCAGAAAUGAACUCAGACCAAUACGAAGCUAAGAUGAUCGCCAUACAAUUUAUAAAGAGUAAAAUGAAUUAGAAUAUUCACAACGAAUCAAAUUAAGAACGAAAAUCAUCUGAAAGUCAGCUCUAACGCCAACACACCACCAACCUAAGUACUAGCAAAUAGAUACAUACAUAUACAUAUGUAAAUUGUUUGUCUAAUGCAUAAAUUCUACAAUUCAAUUUCAAAUUGCCUACGACGCAACCCAUUGGCUCCAAAAUUGUGCAGCACCUACUGAAUCAAACAAGAAAAAUCAAGCGAAAAUCCGACAUCGAACUUUGGAGACAUUUCCAAUGGGCAUACGAAAUCUGAGCAGGAACAUGAGCAUGG